GACGAACGCUGGCGGCGUGCUUAACACAUGCAAGUCGAACGGAAAGGCCCUGCUUUUGUGGGGUGCUCGAGUGGCGAACGGGUGAGUAACACGUGAGUAACCUGCCCUUGACUUUGGGAUAACUUCAGGAAACUGGGGCUAAUACCGGAUAGGAGCUCCUGCUGCAUGGUGGGGGUUGGAAAGUUUCGGCGGUUGGGGAUGGACUCGCGGCUUAUCAGCUUGUUGGUGGGGUAGUGGCUUACCAAGGCUUUGACGGGUAGCCGGCCUGAGAGGGUGACCGGCCAAAUUGGGACUGAAAUACGGCCCAGACUCGUACGGGAGGCAGCAGUGGGGAAUAUUGCACAAUGGGCGGAAGCCUGAUGCAGCAACGCCGCGUGCGGGAUGACGGCCUUCGGGUUGUAAACCGCUUUCGCCUGUGACGAAGCGUGAGUGACGGUAAUGGGUAAAGAAGCACCGGCUAACUACGUG
This 468-nucleotide ribosomal RNA is filed under the name uncultured bacterium. RNAcentral's name for it is "partial 16S ribosomal RNA". It matches the Rfam family "Bacterial small subunit ribosomal RNA", at positions 28 to 507 of the family's 1533-position model. The record is from RNAcentral.